Molecule: ribosomal RNA, 461 nt
Filed under: uncultured bacterium
Lineage: Bacteria
Description: partial 16S ribosomal RNA
Rfam family: Bacterial small subunit ribosomal RNA
Source: RNAcentral
CCUACGGGUGGCAGCAGUGAGGAAUAUUGGUCAAUGGGCGAGAGCCUGAACCAGCCAAGUCGCGUGAGGGAAGACGGUCCUAUGGAUUGUAAACCUCUUUUGUCGGGGAGCAAAAAGGCCUCGUGAGGCCACAAGUGAGAGUACCCGAAGAAAAAGCAUCGGCUAACUCCGUGCCAGCAGCCGCGGUAAUACGGAGGAUGCGAGCGUUAUCCGGAAUGACUGGGCGUAAAGGGUGCGUAGGUGGUUUGGCAAGUUAGUAGCGUAACUCCAAGGCUCAACCUUGGAACUACUACUAAAACUGUUGGACUUGAGUGCAGGAGGGGCAACCGGAAUUCCUAGUGUAGCGGUGGAAUGCGUAGAUAUUAGGAGGAACACCAGUGGCGAAGGCGGGUUGCUAGACUGUAACUGACACUGAGGCACGAAAGCGUGGGGAGCAAACAGGAUUAGAUACCCUUGUAGUC